Molecule: ribosomal RNA, 253 nt
Filed under: uncultured bacterium
Lineage: Bacteria
Description: partial 16S ribosomal RNA
Rfam family: Bacterial small subunit ribosomal RNA
Source: RNAcentral
UACGAACCGUACAAACGUUAUUCGGAAUCACUGGGCUUAAAGGGCUCGUAGGCGGCCAACUAAGUCGGAUGUGAAAUCCCCAGGCUUAACCUGGGAACUGCAUCCGAUACUGGAUGGCUUGAAUCCGGGAGAGGGAUGCGGAAUUCCAGGUGUAGCGGUGAAAUGCGUAGAUAUCGUGAGGAACACCAGAGGCGAAGGCGGCUACCUGGACAAUUGCUGACGCUCAGGCACGAAAGCGUGGGGAGCAAAAGGG